GAUGAACGCUAGCUACAGGCUUAACACAUGCAAGUCGAGGGGAAACGGCAUUUAGUGCUUGCACCGAAUGGACGUCGACCGGCGCACGGGUGAGUAACGCGUAUCCAACCUUCCCAUAACUAAGGAAUAACCUGCCGAAAGGCAGACUAAUACCUUAUGUAAUCCUUUGAUGGCAUCAGAUAAGGAUAAAAGAUUUAUCGGUUAUGGAUGGGGAUGCGUCUGAUUAGCUUGUUGGCGGGGUAACGGCCCACCAAGGCAACGAUCAGUAGGGGUUCUGAGAGGAAGGUCCCCCACAUUGGAACUGAGACACGGUCCAAACUCCUACGGGAGGCAGCAGUGAGGAAUAUUGGUCAAUGGACGGAAGCCUGAACCAGCCAAGUAGCGUGCAGGAUGACGGCCCUAUGGGUUGUAAACUGCUUUUGUAUGGGGAUAAAGUCAAUCACGUGUGAUUGUUUGCAGGUACCAUACGAAUAAGGACCGGCUAAUUCCGUGCCAGCAGCCGCGGUAAUACGGAAGGUUCGGGCGUUAUCCGGAUUUAUUGGGUUUAAAGGGAGCGUAGGCCGGAGAUUAAGUGUGUUGUGAAAUGUAGACGCUCAACGUCUGACUUGCAGCGCAUACUGGUUUCCUUGAGUACGCACAACGUUGGCGGAAUUCGUCGUGUAGCGGUGAAAUGCUUAGAUAUGACGAAGAACUCCGAUUGCGAAGGCAGCUGACGGGAGCGCAACUGACGCUGAAGCUCGAAGGUGCGGGUAUCGAACAGG
Molecule: ribosomal RNA, 761 nt
Filed under: Prevotella melaninogenica
Lineage: Bacteria; Pseudomonadati; Bacteroidota; Bacteroidia; Bacteroidales; Prevotellaceae
Description: bacterial SSU rRNA
Rfam family: Bacterial small subunit ribosomal RNA
Source: RNAcentral